This 324-nucleotide unclassified non-coding RNA is filed under the name uncultured Bordetella sp. RNAcentral describes it as "partial 16S-23S ribosomal RNA intergenic spacer". It matches the Rfam family "Bacterial small subunit ribosomal RNA", at positions 11 to 337 of the family's 1533-position model. The record is from RNAcentral. Lineage: Bacteria; Pseudomonadati; Pseudomonadota; Betaproteobacteria; Burkholderiales; Alcaligenaceae.
GUUCGAUUAUGGCUCAGAUUGAACGCUGGCGGGAUGUUUACACAUGCAAGUCAGACGGCAGCACGGACUUCGGUCUGGUGGCGAGUGGCGAACGGGUGAGUAAUGUAUCGGAACGUGCCUAGUAGCGGGGGAUAACUACGCGAAAGCGUAGCUAAUACCACAUACGCCCUUCGGGGGAAAAGCAGGGGACCUUCGGAGCCUCGCACUAUUAGAGCGGCCGAUAUCGGAUUGGCUAGUUGGUGGGGUAACGGCUCACCAAGGCGACGAUCCGUAGCUGGUUUGAAGGACUGACCAGCCACACUGGGAUGAGACACGGCCCAGACU